AAAAACGUCUCUUGGGUCGAACCCAAUAAACAAAACCUAAGAAACAAAACCAGCAAAAGCAGGCUUACAUCAAUUUAGCCCACCUUAAGUAAAAUAAUAAAAUAAACAAAUUCAAAAUUCCAGUUGAUCGGUCAGUUGUCUUCAUAAAUCCAUCUGCCUUUUCCUCUGCCCAUGACAACUGAAAAGUAAAAGCAAAUCCUUUCAAAUCUUUUACUUAUCAGAUUACUUUUACAAACAGCAUCCUCCCUUUCAUUUCAAUCGUUCAUUUCUUGAUGCCAAAAGCCAAAAUCUUAUCCCCUUUCCUUUCUACUCUGGAUUACCCAAACAGCUUGGCUCCGAGUCUUCACCAAUCGAUCUUAAGGUCUCUCCCUCUAGGUACUGUUCCACUCCCGUUUGAAGUGUUCUUUUUGCUAGUCUGUGUGCUUCAAUAUUUUCAGACCUUGAGUUGAAGUAAAAUCUGAUUUUGUGGAAUAAAUCUUUGAAGCUUUGAAUAUCGCUGAUAAUUGCUCCUAUUUCUGAUCUGUCCCGGUUUCCACUUUGACAUUUUGUUAUCACUGUUUUUGAAUCUCCUAUUAUAUCCAAAGUAUAAUAUUCCAACUGGAUCCCUAACCUUGUUGCUUGAAAUCCUGCAUAUGCUUCCGCCGCAAACGGAGAUGCAACAUUGUCAUGAAGGAUCGAUUUUGCUCCAACGAUUCUGCCCGCCUCAUUUUUAACAACAAGACCUGACGCAGGUCUGUGGUUUUGUGAAUCAAACGCUGCAUCGAAAAAGAUGGCCUUAUUCGCCCUUUGUAUCCACUGUCUAGGCCUUGUACUGGUUGCCAAAGUGAGUACCCUUUCUUUAACACCUUCUAGUUCUGAAAUAUAACUUUGAAUUUGCUUCGAUAUAUCCCAACUGGUACUAUAUUUUCCUUCAUAUAUAAACUUAUUUCUGCUUAUCCAGAUUCCCCAUAGCCCGCAGCAAAAUCCCAUGCACUGUUCAUUUGUCCCUUUUCUGAAUACCCAGAUAAGCCAACUCCAUAUAUCACCAUGAUUGUCAUUAAGUACCCAAGAAAAGUUCAAAUGACUCCAUAUUUCUUUUGCUAUAGGACACAUUUGGAAGACGUGGAUGCUAUCUUCUUCGCCCUGGCUACAUCUCAAACAACGGACCUCAGUCAUUACUCUUCUCGAUUUUAGAUUAGAGAAAGUGGAUAUGUAAUUCCACGUUAUUCUCCAUACUGUAAUUUUAAUUUUUGAGGGCAACUGUAGAUUCCAUAAUUUCUUGUAGAAAUUUUUUGUAUCAGUCUGUAAAUAAGCAUUAGUUCUUGGGCAGUCUUUGAAAAGACUCCAGUAGCCUCCCCUCUCCAUACUUGGAUGUCUUCUUGGGCAGUCUUUGAAAGUGGAAUCCGCAGAAUCUUCUUUGCGAUAUCUGUAUUAAAGGUAUUGACAAUCAAGUCUCUUUUCCAUGUUCUACUCUCUGCAUUGAUUAAGUCGGCCACUACUCUGAUACUUUCACUUCUGCUGUUAUUCUGUAAUCUAUCUUCUGCUGUUAUGCUGUUUUUUUUUUUUUUCAAAUUAGUUAAUGUUACGAUAUUUUAGAAAGAAUGUAAAAAAAUAUUUUAUUAUAAAUUGUUGUUAAUAUUUUAAUAUAUAAAAUAUAAAAUUUAAAUAUUUUAAAGUAA
RNAcentral lists this long non-coding RNA (1658 nucleotides) under Gossypium barbadense (sea-island cotton). RNAcentral's name for it is "long non-coding RNA (GBAR_LNC022709)". Lineage: Eukaryota; Viridiplantae; Streptophyta; Magnoliopsida; Malvales; Malvaceae. The record is from RNAcentral.